This 1203-nucleotide ribosomal RNA is filed under the name Weissella cibaria. RNAcentral describes it as "bacterial SSU rRNA". It matches the Rfam family "Bacterial small subunit ribosomal RNA", at positions 35 to 1146 of the family's 1533-position model. The record is from RNAcentral. Lineage: Bacteria; Bacillati; Bacillota; Bacilli; Lactobacillales; Lactobacillaceae.
GUGGGGGGCGUGCUAUACAUGCAAGUCGAACGCUUUGUGGUUCAACUGAUUUGAAGAGCUUGCUCAGAUAUGACGAUGGACAUUGCAAAGAGUGGCGAACGGGUGAGUAACACGUGGGAAACCUACCUCUUAGCAGGGGAUAACAUUUGGAAACAGAUGCUAAUACCGUAUAACAAUAGCAACCGCAUGGUUGCUACUUAAAAGAUGGUUCUGCUAUCACUAAGAGAUGGUCCCGCGGUGCAUUAGUUAGUUGGUGAGGUAAUGGCUCACCAAGACGAUGAUGCAUAGCCGAGUUGAGAGACUGAUCGGCCACAAUGGGACUGAGACACGGCCCAUACUCCUACGGGAGGCAGCAGUAGGGAAUCUUCCACAAUGGGCGAAAGCCUGAUGGAGCAACGCCGCGUGUGUGAUGAAGGGUUUCGGCUCGUAAAACACUGUUGUAAGAGAAGAAUGACAUUGAGAGUAACUGUUCAAUGUGUGACGGUAUCUUACCAGAAAGGAACGGCUAAAUACGUGCCAGCAGCCGCGGUAAUACGUAUGUUCCAAGCGUUAUCCGGAUUUAUUGGGCGUAAAGCGAGCGCAGACGGUUAUUUAAGUCUGAAGUGAAAGCCCUCAGCUCAACUGAGGAAUUGCUUUGGAAACUGGAUGACUUGAGUGCAGUAGAGGAAAGUGGAACUCCAUGUGUAGCGGUGAAAUGCGUAGAUAUAUGGAAGAACACCAGUGGCGAAGGCGGCUUUCUGGACUGUAACUGACGUUGAGGCUCGAAAGUGUGGGUAGCAAACAGGAUUAGAUACCCUGGUAGUCCACACCGCAAACGAUGAGUGCUUAGUGUUUGAUGGUUUCCGCUCUUAAGUGCCGCAGCUAACGCAUUAAGCACUCCGCCUGGGGAGUACGACCGCGAGGUUGAAACUCAAACUGAAAUUGACGGGGACCCGCACAAGCGGUGGCAGCAUGAUGCUUUAAUUCGAAGCGAACGCGAAGAACCUUACCAGGUCUUGGACAUCCCAUGACACUUCCAGAGAUGGAGCGAUACCGUCGGCGACUAGAUGACAGCUGCUGCAUGGCAUGUCGUCCAGCUACGAGCUCGUGUACUAUGCUAGGCGUGAGUCUCUGCUACGAAGCGCCACCCUUACUACCUAGCUGGCCAUGCAGUUCAGUUGGCACUCUAACGUGAACCUGACCGGUGCGACUAUAGACCGUGGU